GGAGGACCAUCUGCUAGUCAUGAGCAGAUGACAAAUUCACUGCAUUGCGUCUUGUCGCUACUUCCAAAUUUCCUCUUCAGUGGUCACUCACAGCCGGGUGAGAAGAGCAGCUAAAGAUGGAAGAAGAAAGACAGAGACCAGCAAGAAACCUCUGCAGGCUCACCUGUGAAAUCACAAGAAGCAGUGUACAGCCCCAAAGAAAGCAGUGGGUUCUUGUUGACCAGGAUGGAAAGAUGACCUGAAAUUGUAAAGGAUUGAGUACUGAAUUAUUUAAAUUGUGGAAGGAAAGCAUCCCACCUUCUAAACCCUUAGUGCUUACAGCAAGAGGAAAGAUGCAUCCAAAUGUCAAAACUGCAGGAGAAACAACAAUUAUUUCUAAGCACAGCCUCUUUAUUCCAAAUGAAAAACAUGAUAGUUUUUGAUAAUGUGGACAAGUUUGCAGAGAAACCUGCAGCCUAUCCUCGCCAGGCUACCACUUGGACAGUAGCAACCAUUGUGUUUCCCAUCUGAAACAAAGAGAGCAUUAAUCUGUCCACUCUCUCACUGACUAGAAGGCAUUAUGCUCCUCAGAUUCAAGGCAGAAAUGGGAUUGUGUAUGGAUCAAAGACAAGAACUUUCUCACAAUGUGUUUAUGGCCAUCUAAACUGUUGCUAGAUAUGUUAGGUGAGGAGGAGGCAAGCUAGCCAGAGCUUCUUGUAGAUGGCAACCACACUGCCCUCUGGAUUCUCCUGAGUCUGCCUGAAGGAUGAGGAAGCAUGCAGAUGACACAUUGCUGGUGAAACAUGGG
Molecule: long non-coding RNA, 787 nt
Organism: Gallus gallus (chicken)
Lineage: Eukaryota; Metazoa; Chordata; Aves; Galliformes; Phasianidae
Source: Ensembl